CCUACGGGUGGCUGCAGUGAGGAAUAUUGGUCAAUGGGCGGAAGCCUGAACCAGCCAAGUAGCGUGCGGGAUGAAGGCCCUACGGGUCGUAAACCGCUUUUGCACGGGGAUAACACCCUCCACUUGUGGAGGUCUGCAGGUACCGUGCGAAUAAGGGCCGGCUAAUUCCGUGCCAGCAGCCGCGGUAAUACGGAAGGUCCGAGCGUUAUCCGGUUUCAUUGGGCUUAAAGGGAGCGUAGGCGGGCGAUCAAGUUAGGUGUAAAAUCGCGGGGCUAAACCGCGGCCCGCAGUUGAAAAUGGACGCCUAGAGAUUACUACAGGCAGGCGGAAUGUGUGGUGUAGCGGUGAAAUGCUUAGAUAUCA
This 363-nucleotide ribosomal RNA is filed under the name uncultured bacterium. RNAcentral's name for it is "partial 16S ribosomal RNA". It matches the Rfam family "Bacterial small subunit ribosomal RNA", at positions 338 to 699 of the family's 1533-position model. The record is from RNAcentral.